Long non-coding RNA from Lepus europaeus (European hare), 444 nucleotides. RefSeq lists it as uncharacterized. The transcript is spliced from 3 exons. The record is from RefSeq and is a predicted model, not a curated record. NCBI's taxonomy places the organism in Eukaryota, Metazoa, Chordata, Mammalia, Lagomorpha, Leporidae.
GCUGCAGGAGUAUGUGAUGGAGAAUGAGACUCAGCAGGAGCCGGUCUGUCCUGAGUGUCAAGGAUUCAGGAUCAGGACAAGGUCCUGCAAGCUGGCUUCUUAGCACUUCUUAGUUUUUAUUUUUAGCACAGGAUGCUCUCGGCUGACCUUUCAUCAUCUUGGUCUCAGCCUGGAAUCCACCAUUUCUCAAGCAUUUUCCUGGGAAAGGGAUCUUAAGAAACCCAGCUGCUGUUUUAACAAGGCAACCAUCUCUCGGUGCUUCUUCGACUUCUCGUGAUUCUUCAUGCUGAAAGAACAACCUCACGUGAGCAGCUGCACAGGCACUCCUUCACACAUGCCCAGCUCGUGCUGGAUGGCUCCAACCCAGCAGAAAUUUACUUUUUUCCAGUUAACUUAAAGAUGGAUACAGACAAACAGAAGGCUAUCAAGACUUCCCAGGCAUUA